CGGCAGGCCUAACACAUGCAAGUCGAGCGGUAACAGGUCCUUCGGGAUGCUGACGAGCGGCGGACGGGUGAGUAACGCAUAGGAAUCUACCCAGUAGUGGGGGAUAACGUGGGGAAACCCACGCUAAUACCGCAUACGUCUACGGGAGAAAGGGGGCUCCGGCUCCCGCUAUUGGAUGAGCCUAUGUCGGAUUAGCUAGUUGGUGAGGUAAUGGCUCACCAAGGCAACGAUCCGUAGCUGGUCUGAGWGGAUGAUCAGCCACAUCGGGACUGAGACACGGCCCGAACUCUACGGGAGGCAGCAGUGGGGAAUAUUGGACAAUGGGGGCAACCCUGAUCCAGCCAUGCCGCGUGUGUGAAGAAGGCCCUCGGGUUGUAAAGCACUUUCAGCGAGGAAGAACGCUAGCGGUUAAUACCCGUUAGGAAAGACAUCACUCGCAGAAGAAGCACCGGCUAACUCCGUGCCAGCAGCCGCGGUAAUACGGAGGGUGCAAGCGUUAAUCGGAAUUACUGGGCGUAAAGCGCGCGUAGGUGGCUUGAUAAGCCGGUUGUGAAAGCCCCGGGCUCAACCUGGGAACGGCAUCCGGAACUGUCAGGCUAGAGUACAGGAGAGGAAGGUAGAAUUCCCGGUGUAGCGGUGAAAUGCGUAGAGAUCGGAGGAAUACCAGUGGCGAAGGCGGCCUUCUGACUGAUACUGACACUGAGGUG
RNAcentral lists this ribosomal RNA (707 nucleotides) under Halomonas sp. GWS-BW-H240. Its description in RNAcentral is "bacterial SSU rRNA". It matches the Rfam family "Bacterial small subunit ribosomal RNA", at positions 40 to 753 of the family's 1533-position model. Lineage: Bacteria; Pseudomonadati; Pseudomonadota; Gammaproteobacteria; Oceanospirillales; Halomonadaceae. The record is from RNAcentral.